RNAcentral lists this transfer RNA (73 nucleotides) under Plectrocnemia tsukuiensis. RNAcentral's name for it is "tRNA-Ser". The record is from RNAcentral. Lineage: Eukaryota; Metazoa; Arthropoda; Insecta; Trichoptera; Polycentropodidae.
AAUUAAUGAACUUGAUUUAAAAGUAUUUGUUUUGAAAACUUAAGAAAGAUUUAUUUAUAUACUCUAUUAAUUU